CCUACGGGGGGCAGCAGUGAGGAAUAUUGGUCAAUGGACGAGAGUCUGAACCAGCCAAGUAGCGUGAAGGAUGACUGCCCUAUGGGUUGUAAACUUCUUUUAUAUGGGAAUAAAAUGUUCCACGUGUGGGAUUUUGUAUGUACCAUAUGAAUAAGGAUCGGCUAACUCCGUGCCAGCAGCCGCGGUAAUACGGAGGAUCCGAGCGUUAUCCGGAUUUAUUGGGUUUAAAGGGAGCGUAGGUGGAUUGUUAAGUCAGUUGUGAAAGUUUGCGGCUCAACCGUAAAAUUGCAGUUGAAACUGGCAGUCUUGAGUACAGUAGGGGUGGGCGGAAUUCGUGGUGUAGCGGUGAAAUGCUUAGAUAUCACGAAGAACUCCGAUUGCGAAGGCAGUUCACUGGACUGCAACUGACACUGAGGCUCGAAAGUGUGGGUAUCAAACAGGAUUAGAUACCCUAGUAGUC
RNAcentral lists this ribosomal RNA (460 nucleotides) under uncultured bacterium. RNAcentral's name for it is "partial 16S ribosomal RNA". It matches the Rfam family "Bacterial small subunit ribosomal RNA", at positions 338 to 795 of the family's 1533-position model. The record is from RNAcentral.